This 468-nucleotide ribosomal RNA is filed under the name uncultured bacterium. RNAcentral describes it as "partial 16S ribosomal RNA". It matches the Rfam family "Bacterial small subunit ribosomal RNA", at positions 28 to 507 of the family's 1533-position model. The record is from RNAcentral.
GAUGAACGCUGGCGGCGUGCCUAAUACAUGCAAGUCGAACGGAAAGGCGCUGCUCUUGCUCGGCUGACGUGAGCCGCACGCGUGUGUAUAACACGUGUAUACCGUCCCUGUAUUUCUGGUAUCUCUUGGGAACACCGGCUAUUAUCGGAGAUGAGAUCCUGCUGCGCGUGGUGCGAUGGAAAGAUACGGCGUUUGGGGAUGUUCUAGCUGGUUAUCCGCUUGUUUGGCGGGUAGUGGCUUACCAGGGCUUCGACGGAUAGCCGGCAUGAGAGGGUUACCGGCGACAUUGGGACUGAGAUACGGCCCAGACUCCUACGGGAGGCAGCGGUGGGGAGUAUGGCACAAUGGGCGGAAGCCUGAUGCGGCAACGCCGCGUGCGGGAUGACGGCCUUCGGGUUGUAAACCGCUUUCGCCUGUGACGAAGCGUGAGUGACGGUAAUGGGUAAAGAAGCACCGGCUAACUACGUG